Molecule: unclassified non-coding RNA, 374 nt
Filed under: Hevea brasiliensis (rubber tree)
Lineage: Eukaryota; Viridiplantae; Streptophyta; Magnoliopsida; Malpighiales; Euphorbiaceae
Source: RNAcentral
AGAGUUUCAACAAACUUCUAAGAACAGGAACUAAGAAAUUCCAAUUAUACUUGUGAAUAUUUACAUUAAGUAGGAGGCACUAAGUAAAAGAAUUCAAAGAAAAAGUCUCAUCAAGCCAGGGAGAUUAACAAAUACCAAGUACCCCAAAUUAAUCACUAGGCCAGGGUUGCAAGUGGGGCUGAGUAAAGAUAGUUAAAAUGAUUAAACACGAAUAAUAUCACAAAUCACAAUCGAUUGGAAAAAAGGAGAGGGGGUCAUUUCUCACUUGCAAGUAGCUAUUAUAAGAAAACUCAUAAUUCAAAUCAAAUCAAGCAAAACAAAAGACUCAAAAAAAUGUUUAUUCCAAAAAAUCAACAAGCACCCAUUAAUCCUAA